UCUUCGUAGCUCAAAUUUGAA
RNAcentral lists this non-coding RNA (21 nucleotides) under Caenorhabditis elegans. Lineage: Eukaryota; Metazoa; Nematoda; Chromadorea; Rhabditida; Rhabditidae. The record is from RNAcentral.